AACGAACGCUGGCGGCAUGCCUAACACAUGCAAGUCGAACGAGACCUCCGGGUCUUGUGGCGCCCGGGUGCGUCACGCGAGGGAACCUGCCCUUAUGGUCGGAAUACCUCCCCGAAUGGGGUGCUAAUACCGGACCAUGUCUUCUGCCCAAAGAUUUAUCGCCUUUGGUUGUGCCCGCGUUGGAUUAGCUAGUUGGUAGGGUAAAAGCAUACCAAGGCGACGAUCCAUAGCUGGUCUGAGAGGAUGAUCAGCCACACUGGGACUGAGACACGGCCCAGACUCCUACGGGAGGCAGCAGUGGGGGAUAGUGGAAAAUGGGCGAAAGCAUGAUCCAGCACUGCCGCGUGAGUGAUGAAGGCAUUAAGGUUGUAAAGCUCUUUUAACCAGGAUGAUAAUGACAGUACCGAGAGAAUAAGCUCCGGCUAACUCCGUG
RNAcentral lists this ribosomal RNA (433 nucleotides) under uncultured bacterium. Its description in RNAcentral is "partial 16S ribosomal RNA". It matches the Rfam family "Bacterial small subunit ribosomal RNA", at positions 29 to 507 of the family's 1533-position model. The record is from RNAcentral.